CGUGUUGUGAAAUGUUGGGUUAAGUCCCGCAACGAGCGCAACCCCUAUCCUUAUUUGCCAGCGCGUUAUGGCGGGAACUCUAAGGAGACUGCCGGUGAUAAACCGGAGGAUGGUGGGGACGACGUCAAGUCAUCAUGGCCCUUACGGGAUGGGCUACACACGUGCUACAAUGGCAGGUACAGAGGGCAGCAAUACCGCGAGGUGGAGCGAAUCCCACAAAGCUUGUCGUAGUCCGGAUUGGAGUCUGCAACUCGACUCCAUGAAGUCGGAAUCGCUAGUAAUCGUAGAUCAGAAUGCUACGGUGAAUACGUUCCCGGGCCUUGUACACACC
RNAcentral lists this ribosomal RNA (331 nucleotides) under uncultured Alteromonadales bacterium. Its description in RNAcentral is "bacterial SSU rRNA". It matches the Rfam family "Bacterial small subunit ribosomal RNA", at positions 1061 to 1391 of the family's 1533-position model. Lineage: Bacteria; Pseudomonadati; Pseudomonadota; Gammaproteobacteria; Alteromonadales. The record is from RNAcentral.